AUUGAACGCUGGCGGCAGGCCUAACACAUGCAAGUCGAAUGGUAACAGGAAACAGCUUGCUGUUUCGCUGACGAGUGGCGGACGGGUGAGUAAUGUCUGGGAAACUGCCUGAUGGAGGGGGAUAACUACUGGAAACGGUAGCUAAUACCGCAUAACGUCGCAAGACCAAAGAGGGGGACCUUCGGGCCUCUUGCCAUCAGAUGUGCCCAGAUGGGAUUAGCUAGUAGGUGGGGUAACGGCUCACCUAGGCGACGAUCCCUAGCUGGUCUGAGAGGAUGACCGGCCACACUGGAACUGAGACACGGUCCAGACUCCUACGGGAGGCAGCAGUGGGGAAUAUUGCACAAUGGGCGCAAGCCUGAUGCAGCCAUGCCGCGUGCAUGAAGAAGGCCUUCGGGUUGUAAAGUACUUUCAGCGGGGAGGAAGGGAGUAAAGUUAAUACCUUUGCUCAUUGACGUUACCCGCAGAAGAAGCACCGGCUAACUCCGUG
This 490-nucleotide ribosomal RNA is filed under the name uncultured bacterium. RNAcentral describes it as "partial 16S ribosomal RNA". It matches the Rfam family "Bacterial small subunit ribosomal RNA", at positions 30 to 507 of the family's 1533-position model. The record is from RNAcentral.